GGAGAAGCAAAGUGAUGAGCAAUACCAGCUGGAGUCCCAAAAAGGCAUGAAUGUGUGUCUGUGUAUCUGUAUCCUUGUCUGUGCAUGCACAUGUGUGUCUGAGCCUAUGAAUGUGUGUGUGUGACUGGUUGUAGGGAACUAGCUAUGUGCCUUGUAUUGGGCCAUGACAGUCAAACUGAUAAGAUCUGAUUGCUUC
This 196-nucleotide small nucleolar RNA is filed under the name Fukomys damarensis (Damara mole-rat). RNAcentral describes it as "Small nucleolar RNA ZL1". It matches the Rfam family "Small nucleolar RNA ZL1". Rfam says of the family: Host gene TRRAP. Predicted target U2@U47. Only GU-rich region is homologous to other known snoRNAs. Lineage: Eukaryota; Metazoa; Chordata; Mammalia; Rodentia; Bathyergidae. The record is from Rfam by way of RNAcentral.